This 40445-nucleotide long non-coding RNA is filed under the name Citrus x clementina. RNAcentral describes it as "Citrus clementina (C. clementina) long non-coding RNA (CCLE_LNC002091)". The record is from RNAcentral. Lineage: Eukaryota; Viridiplantae; Streptophyta; Magnoliopsida; Sapindales; Rutaceae.
ACAAUUCGGGGCGUGGUUGAAAUAUAAGUGUGCAACCCAAGAGGGGGGUGAAUUGGAAUUUAAAAAAUUAUCCUAGCAAAUCCACACAACAAGCAAUCUAAUGUCUUAAUAAAAAUUGAAAACAAUAAAUUCAAUCAUGCACAAUAUUAAAAGAGUAAGGGAAGAGAAAACAAACACAAUGAUUUUUACGUGGUUCGGCAAUCCCCGCCUACGUCCACGCCUCCAAGCUCACAGGGCUUGAGGAUUUCACUAAGCUAGCCUCUCAAGGCUUCAAACGCUUACAAUUGACUUCCAAGGUGUCAAUGGACCUUUACAACAAGAGAUUAUCCCCAAUCUCUUAACCCAAGUGUAUCCCAACACUUACAAUCUUUUAACUUGAUUUUACAAAAAAAGAUUACAAAUGAAUCUCUCUCACACAAUGUGUUUGAUCACAAGUAAAAGCUCAAUGUGUGAAUGAAUGAGAUGAAUACAAGAAUUUAAAGCUCAAUGAAAGUUGUAUUCUCAAUAUUUUGCUCAAUGAUGAUCGUUCGAAUUCAUCUUGUUUGAAUUGGAUUGAGCUUAUUUAUAGUUGGAGCUGAAAAACUAGCCGUUAUAGACUGUCUGCUCGAAAACGGUUCGCCGUUAACCAUUAACGGUUAACCGUUUAGGCUGGUCAAAGUUACCGUUGGGUCAAUUUUCAAAUAAACGGUUAGCCGUUUAGGAUUACCCUUUCGCCGUUAAUUUUCAGAGACCUGUAAAACAAAUUUGGUUUAACCGUUCUUACUAAACGGUUCAAGGUUAGCAAUCUGGAAAUAAUCGGUUAACCGUUUUCAGUAAACGGUUCACCGUUAGUUUCCAGAAUCAUCAUUUUAACAAUACUUUGCAGAACAUGCUUUCUGGAAAUUAUCGGUUAGCCGUUUUAAAUAAACGGUUAGCCGUUUGCUACAGUGAUUGCUACAGUGAAAAUAUUUUCUAAAUUUACAGUUUGACCCCAAAACUUUAUAAAACUAUAUUACGGCCCAAAACGUUAUGAAACUUUGCACAUAUGUCCAAUUUCAGAAUUUCUAAAUAAUACUUUGUUAAUCCUAAAACUUUCUGAAAUUAUGGUAUAGCCCAAAAUACUAUGACACUUUUCAAAUAAGUCCUUUACCAAGAUUUCAAGCAAUACAUGUUUAUUUCAAAGUUUUCAAAAUUCUUUCAAUUAAACCAUAAACUUUGAAAAACAACCAAUUUCAUAAAAUCAUUUUUCCAUUAAAUAUGAAACAUUUAUAAUGUGAAAAUAAUGAUUUAUUUAAAAAGAAUAAAAACAAUCAAUUUCAUAAAAUCAUUUUUCCAUUAAAUAUAAAACAUUUAUAAUGUGAAAAUAAUGAUUUAUUUAAAAAGAAUAUUAAAUAAUUUGAGCUUAAAAGAUUAAUCAUUCUUAAUCUUGUUUGUUAUCAUCAAAAUCAAUAUUAUGGAAACAUAUAUGUUAACAGUGGUGGCGGUGGUGGUGGAGGUGAAGGACCGUAAACGUGAGGUGGCGGUGGUGGGUGAGGAGCAUAUGGGUCUGCUACUGGUGGUGGUGGUGGUGGAGGACUUGGACCUGGACCUGGACGGUGGUGUCUAUGAAAUGCCAUGUUUUUGAAAGUUAGGUGAUCAAUACAAAGUGUUGUGCUGUUGUUUUUGUUUUAAGGGAUUUGGAGUUGUUCGUAUGUACACUAGAAACAUGUAUUUCCUUUGACGGUUUGUUGGAUGACGUGCAGAUGUUUGUGCCUCGGCUUCCUCAGCCAAUCAGAAUUUUAUUUUUGUCAAAAUUCGUUUCGUCUCCUCAUAUACUCCGUUUCAAGAGUGCAUAAUAUUUUAUUGACUAUUAUUAUUAUUAUUAUUAUUAUUAUUAUUAUUAUUAUUAUUAUUAUUAUUAUUAUUAUUAUUAUUAUUAUUAUUAUUAUUAUUAUUAUUAUUAUUAUUAUUAUUAUUGGUUUUGACUAUUUUAUGAUGUUUAGACUUUAGACUACAAGAUAUGAUGUCAAAAAUAGACCCAUGUAUAAUAAUAUUAUGUUGUUAUCUUUCAUUUUGAUAACAAAAUCUCUUCGUAUCAUCGCAGAUUAUUCAUUUUCAUUUUACGAAAAGUAAAAAAAAAAAGCAUGGUUGUAAAGAAACUGCACCAUUAAUUAAAUCGUGAAAAUAUUAUUAAUCAUUACUAUAUGAUUUUCUAACUUUCUAAUACCAGUAACCAUAUUAUAAUAUACUAACACACUUUUUUUUCAAUUACACCAAAUUAUUAUUAUUAUUAUUUUCAUAAUAAAUUGAAGCUGUAAUAAUAUUUUUAGCACCAUUCCAAUUUAUUCAAUAAAUAUAUAAUUUAUUAUUUUAUAAAAUAGGCGGCCUCUAACUCUAGUUGAAAAAAAAAGGAAAAAAAAUUGAAUCGAGAACAUGUUUGAGAAUACAACAAAAAUUAUACCAUUCAAAGAAAAAUUAUAAAACCUAAGGGGUAUUAACAAAAAUUCCUUGGACUAGGCCAGGCAAUGUCUGCCACUGGUGGAAAGUAGAUAUUUAUUUGCAUUUGUGGUUGUAAUCGAAAAUGGUAGGGAUAGUGAAUCUUUUAGGUGUAUUUCUUACGGGUGUCGUAAUUUUGACAUCGACUAAAACUUGUUUAAAUUUUGACAUUUUUAUUAGUGCAUUGAAUGUAACGUGUUGCUAUUACGAUGUAGGGAUGGCAAUAGGGAGGGGAGGGGAGGGGACCAAUCUCCCUAUACCCAUUCCUGAUAUUUUGUUAUGUCCCCGUUCCCUCCGCGUCCCCGUCAGAAUUGCUUAAGAGAAUCUUUAUCCCCUCUCUGAAUAAUAACAGGGGAUCCCCGAGGGUCCCCGGUCCCCGAAUAACUAAUAGUCUAAUACAUUUUUUUUUAUUUUUUUUUAAAUUAAUCAUAUUAAAAUAAAAAAUUCAGAUAAAAAUAAAGUUUAAAAUAUAUCUUGCAUUAAUAUUGAUCCAUUACAAAGUCACAUUCAAAAUAUAAAUUAUUAAAAUAAUUAUCUUUGUCAAUGACUCAAUCUUCAUAAUCCUACAAUAAAAAGAAAAAAAAUUAUUUUUAUAUCGGUAAUAAAAUAAAUAAAAUAAAUGUAGAUACUUAAUUAAUAUUUUUAAUAAAACUAUUUACCUCCUGCUCCUCCUGUUCUUCCUCGAGAAAUGUGGCAAAUUGAGAGCUAGUCUCAGAUUUCAAACCUAAAACAAUGAAAAUGAUAUAAGUAACGUAACUUAUAAGUGCAAAUAUUAAUUACUGUAUAAUAUAAUUACAAUGUAAAAUAAACUCAUACUGCUAUUGUAAGCUCGUAACCAACUUUGACAGCACAUUAAGGCCUCCAAUGUGUUUGGAUGAAGUUUGUUACGGUGUGCACUCACAACUCUACCACCGGUGCUAAAAGCUGAUUCAGAAGCAACUGUUGUAAUUGGAAUUGCCAAAAUAUCUCUAGCAAUUCGAGCUAAUGUAGGAUUCGAAUUAGGAUUAGAACUGUUGUAAAUUAUAAUUAGGCAGCUCUCUCCUGUAUCAUUGUGGUUUAGAUUAAAAAUUUAAGACUUUAAUUAGUUAAUUAAGUUUAAAAGUUUAAUAAUAUAACUAUUUUAAUAUUUAUUAUUUUUAACAAUAUUUAUAAUUUUGUUAUUUAUUUAUUAGUAAUUUUAAAAAUAAAAAUAAAAUUAAAAAUUAAAAUGGGGAAAUGGGUAGGGGAUGGGGAUUCCACCUCAUCCCCGUCCCCUCCCCGAAUAAAAAAUUGGGUAAAAAUUUUUCCCGUCCUCUCCCCGAAUAAAAAAUUGGGUAUAAAAUUAUCCCCGUACCCCCCCCCCCCCCGAAUGAGGAAAAUCCCCGAGGGUACCCGUCCCCGUGGGAAUUUUUGUCAUCCCUAUUACGAUGUCACGAAGUCAAGACUCUGUCCUGCUUUCUGCUUCGGCGUUUGUGAUUUGGCUUUGCCAACACCUUCUUCCCUUUCUAAUAUUGUAUUUCCUCCUAUGGUAGGGUGAAUAUUUACUAAUGCUGCAGUGCACACGUCACGAGAACUGGGCUUUCGGUUUGCACAGAUCGAACCCUGGGCUCUUGUUAAGUUUUAGCGCCCCCCCCCCCCCCCCCCAAUACCCAAAUACCAUCCAAACGGAUAAAUAACAACAAUGGAAAAUUCUCAUAGCACCUCUUUUAAAUUUUAUUUUUUUUUCCUAAAAAAUGAUGCUAUAAAAAAAAAACCAUAAUUUUUACUCUUCGAACCUAUCUUUAUAUUCAACGUAAUUUUAUUAAAUCCUAAAUAUAUUCUCAAGCAAUGGAUUUUUGUAAUCAUGUUUGUUCUUUUGCUGGAAUUUAAAUUGCAAUGGCAGCUAGGGGUGGGCAAUUUAUUCGACCUGAUCCAAUCCGAUUAAAAAAAAAUCAAGUUAGGAUCGGAUCAGAUGGAAGAUAAUAUCCGAACGGGUUGGCUAAAAAAAAAAACACACGCAAGACACUCAAACACCACCCACUCAUUCACACAGUCACACCACUCUCAGCCCACUCAAACUCAAACCUACAACAAUGAGCAGCCUACAGCCAACACUCUCGUCUCUCUCAACUCAACUUCACUACUUCAGUUCUCAUCUCGCUCUCGUCUCUCUCUCAAGUCUCAACUCUCGAGAUUCAAGAAAGAAAAUAGAAUUGUGACAAACACACUCUAAAAUAUUUUGCAAAGAAAUAUCAAAUGGAUGAAAAGAUAUAAAUGAAGGAUUCCUAAACCAACAGAAGUGGCAGUGCCUUUCUUUAAGCGCAUUCUCAAUCUUGCACGAGUGACUGAUGUUACUUACAAGGAUGAUAAUGGCUACACCAAUUCUUAUGUGAUCAAAGACUAUAUCACCCACUGCUUGAGAAGCCUGUUCUCUUUUGAGUAGUUUUUGCGAUGCAGAUUACAUCCUAUAUAAACUAUUAAUGUUGUUUUUGGAAUAAGCUCUGAAAUUUGUUCCUCAGAGAGCUUUUUUGCUGCUGUCAUCACAAUUAUCAAAUUCUUCCGUACAAUUAGUAAAGGCUUCCCUGUUUAUAUAUAUAUAAAUAAAAGAAAUCACCCAACAUAGUGUUGUUUAACUGAAAAAGGAAAUUCAAGCAUCCAAAAUCAAAAUAUCCAAAAUGAAAAUAAGGUACCUAAUACUUGAAAGAAAGGGAUAUUCAAUACCCGUUUCAAAUCGUGCAUAAUCAUCUAGCAUGGCUCUCAUUGUCCCUCUGCAGCGCCGACUUUUUCCAUUAUUUUCUGCCCUUCUUCACCUUCGUCAUGAACCGAUCAAGACCGAAUGGAUCAGCUUCUUCAGCCUCCUUCUCAAACUUAACCGGUCCGUCCCUCGUACCAGACCUCUCAGAUGUACCUGCAAAUGCCUUGUCGGGUUUAAACCGAUCAGUCUUUCUAAUCUUCUCCAACUGCUCAUCCGCAUUUGCUCCAUAAAUUUCAGCAUCAGCAUCUUUUUUGGGCCUGUAAAGGGUUGAAAGAGUCGGCUGUGCUGUAAACAAGCCUUUGUCAUACACAUUAUACUGAUCACCGUCAGUGGCAAAACCAGAGUCCAUUCCUUUCUUCUGAUUAAAAAGCCUUGCGUCAUGAGUAACCUCACCCGCUCUGCCUCCGCCACCAAAAGAGGCCAUCCCAAGGGCAACUUUCUCGCUAACAUCCCGAUCUCUGUCUCUAACAACCUUACUAUUCUUCUUCCCCAUAGCAACAUCCUUGGCCAGCAAAUUUCUCUCCCUCUUCCUCUCGCGACGUCUCUCCUCACGAAUUCUCUCCCUCUCCCUUUCCCUCUCCCUCAGCAAUCCCUGCUCGCUUUCCUUCAAUGUCUCCAUUGCCUUACGUGCUAAAUCCCGUAGCUGCUGCUCUUUCCUUUCCUUCUCCUUCGUGAGCAUCUCCAUCUGCACCUUGAAUCUUAUUUCAAUUGCCUCCCUCGCCUUCUGCUCUGCCAAAUAAAGAGCCUCCGACAAUUUAGCAAAUCCCUCAUUUACCUGAACCUCCAGAAGCCCUCUUCCUUCGGCAGCGAGCUGCUUAUCCAGCGGAAUUGUAAACCGCUGUGGGUUCUUCCAAUUUGAUAUACAUGGUGGGAUUCUCCAAUCCAGCUGAUCUUUCACAGUCAUAGGCCUAGGAGGGGAAUGCAUGACCGGUACUGGCGGAGAUCCCGAAGCUUUCGGCACACGCUUGUGCUUCAACUUUGGUGGCUCAAGUGGGUCCAAAGGCAUCGCCACCACUCUCAAAAUCCUCCUUUUUAGGGAUGGCAAUGAAUUGGAUUUGAUCCAAGAUCCAUGUAAUUCAAAUCCAAUCGGAUCGGAUUUGGAUCGGUUUAAAAUAGAUUUGGAUCAGAUGUGCGGAUUUAAGACGAAUCUGGAGUAGAUAUGGAUCUAUCGUAAUAUUUAAAUCCAUAUUCAUAUCCACUCAUCUUUUAAUUUUAUUUUAUUUUAAAAGUUUCUUAAUAAUUGUGGAAUGAUAAUAUGAUAAUAAAUUUUAUUCAUAGCAUAUAUAGUAGUAUUUACCAUGUAUUUAAACUCUUUUUUUUUUUUAGAAGAAUGUAUUUAAACUCUUAAAACUUAAAGGUUAGUUUUGUAAAUUUAAAGGUCAGCCAGCCUCAAAGCAUGUACAUGCAAUAUUCAAAUUGCAAUCCAAGUAAUAUAACCUGGUAAUUUAUUUUAUCAUAUUGGCCAAAUAAUUUUUAAGGAAUAUAGUUAUUCAUAUAUUUAGUCAAAUAUGGUCAUAAUAAAAAUAAUAAAGGACUGAAUAUAAAUCAUAUUUAAUUUAUAUGUCAUUAUUUAAUGUUGUAGGAAUGAGGGUAGGUGUAUCGUGGAUAUUAGAAUGAUGAAGGAGACAAUAGAAUAUUAGAUUGAUCUUACUCCUGCAAUUACUUCUAAAUGAUAUUUUAUUAUCUUUCUUAUUUGUUGUUUUGGUAUAAAAGUAUAAGCUACAAUAUUUAUUAUAUUUUUUAGAAAAAUUAUAUAAUUUAUUUGUUAUCAAUACAUUUUAGCCUUCAAUUUUCAAUCUAAAAAAUUAUUACUUUUUUAUUACGGAAUUUUAGAAUUCAUGAUGGAUCUAGAGCAGAUUUGGAUUUUAAUUUUUUUUCAGAUUUGGAGCGGAUAUAGAUAUUUAUUUCUUUUUUGGAUCUGGAUAUGGAGCGAAAAAUAUGGAUUCAUAACAGAUCUGGAGCAGAUAUGGAUCUUGAUUUUUAUUAUGGAUUUGGAUCUGGAACAAAUACGGAUCUUAAUUUUUAUUAUAGAUUUGGAUCUGGAGCAAAAUAAAUCCAACACAUAUCUACCUCAUUGCCAUCCCUACUCCUUUUAGCCCCAGAAUAGAAGUCCACCGAUUGUUGUGAUGGUCUGUACAUAAUAAAUUUGGACUCUAAUGACUGCGUAGGUGCAGCAUUCACAACACUGUUAACAAUCUUUUCAAGUUCAGCUUUUGUUACAGGAGUAGUCACGUCAAUCUCAUCUUCUUGAUCAGGAAAAGCGCUACCAUCAUCAUCAUCGAAAUCCUCAAGUUUCCGUGGAAGUAUCACCAUGUUACAAAGAUUUCUUGCUUGUCAAUCAAGCCUGUGAUUAGUCCCAAGCAAUUUAAGGGUUCCUCAAGGGCUGAAAAAGAAUCUUGUGUUUUUUGUUAUCGUACACAACCAGCAAAUUUCUCUCCCAGUAGCGGCGACUCUGUUUUAAGAUUUGCUAAUGCUAUGCUAGUUUGCUAACUUGUAGCGGAGGUAAUCUCACUAAUGCUAAAACUAGAUAUCCUGAUGUAAAAACUUUAAACACAAAAAAAGUGCUCGUUUUGAAAAAUUAUUUGAGAUUACAACCUUAUUUAUUAGUUUUAAUUAUUACUCAAAAAAGCUAUUACAAUAAUUGAAAUCCUAGUCAAAACUAAAAUAAUAAUAAAAACUAAUUAAUAUGGCAACAGAUAAGACAAAUCCUAAACAAAUUAGAAAUACCAAUUAAAAAGAGGAAAAUUUCGGAUUAGAACAAAAAGAAAGGGCAAUAAUCUUUAUCCGUAUCCGUAGAAAAUAAGGAAAAUUUUUUAUGUAGAUAAUAAAGACUUGCCCACGGUAGUGUCCUAAGAAAGUAAGGAAAACCAAUCUAUAUAAAGAGACUUGCCUGUGCUUGUCGAAAAGCAUUAUACCUUCUUCUUUUAAUUAGCCUGCUAGCUAGCUCCUUAGUAAUCAGUCCCAAAUUUUCAGCUUUCUUAACUUCUUCUCCGUUACCUUAUUCAUCAUCUUCAUUAAAACAAGAAAACAGGAGAAAAAAAAUGCCUGGUGUUUCAAGAAUUGAUAAGGGUAAUGGCAGAGUGUACCCUGGAUACCUUACCCCAUUCGUCGCAAUCACAUGUAUCGUUGCUGCCAUGGGUGGCCUCAUCUUUGGUUACGACAUUGGGAUUUCUGGUAAAUAUAUUUAUACUUACAUACAUAUUAACUAGCUAAUUAAGUACUGUAGUAUUGUGAAUUAUGAGUUAUGCUGACGGUUUAAUCAAAAUAUUAACCUAGCUAACUGCAUAAAUAAUAUAACGCAGGUGGUGUGACCUCAAUGCCUUCGUUUUUGAAGAGUUUUUCCCAUCGGUGUACGAGAAGCAACAAGUAAACUCGUCAGCGAAUCAGUACUGUCAAUAUAACAGCGAGUCGUUGACUUUGUUCACGUCUUCGCUAUACUUGGCUGCUUUGAUAGCAUCGCUUGUAGCAUCAUCGGUGACAAGGAAAUUCGGAAGAAAGUGGUCCAUGUUAUUCGGUGGGGUUCUGUUUCUUGCUGGUACAUUAAUCAAUGGCUUGGCCCAAGACGUUUGGAUGCUUAUUGUUGGCCGUCUUUUGCUCGGUUUCGGUAUCGGCUUCGCUAAUCAGUCUGUGCCACUCUACCUCUCUGAGAUGGCCCUCUAAAUACAGAGGAGCCUUGAACAUUGGGUUUCAAUUGUCAAUCACCGUUGGAAUUUUAGUGGCCAACCUGUUGAAUUUUUUCUUUGCUAAGAUUAAGGGUGGCUGGGGAUGGCGUUUGAGCUUAGGUGGUGCCAUGGUCCCUGCCCUUAUCAUCACCGUCGGUUCAGUUUUCCUCCCGGACACACCAAAUUCAAUGAUUGAACGCGGCCAGCACGAUGAAGCCAGAAAGCAACUUAGAAAAGUUCGCGGUGUUAAUGAUGUUGACGGAGAAUUUAAUGAUCUUGUUGCAGCCAGUGAAGCAUCCAAGCAAGUUGAACAUCCUUGGAGGAAUUUGUUGAGAAGGAAAUAUAGGCCUCACCUUACCAUGGCUGUUCUGAUUCCCUUCUUCCAGUAAUUCACUGGCAUUAAUGUUAUCAUGUUUUACGCUCCUAUUUUGUUCGACACAAUUGGUUUCGGCAAUGAUGCAUCACUCAUGUCCGCUGUGAUCACCGGUCUUGUCAAUGUUUCCGCAACAUUCGUAUCAAUUUGUACUGUCGACAAGUGGGGAAGAAGACGUCUUUUCCUUGAAGGUGGUGCUCAAAUGUUAAUCUGCCAGGCCGUUGUUGCUGCUUGCAUCGGUUAUAAAUUUGGAGUUGAUGGGAAUCCUGGAGAGUUGCCUGUUGAUGCUUAAAUCUGCUCGCCUUUAGACCGACCAGAUUCUUUCACCAACGUUUGUGUUAUCUACUGUUGCUCGUUCACUGGGAUUGGAAUCGUCCUUCUUUCUCACAAUAGACCUGCGCUCACCAAAAACGGAUCAGAGACGCCGGUGGUUUUGCCGGCGUAAACCCUCCGAUGCUUAAGUUAGCUCAAGGUGUUUACGGGAAAACAGUGCAAUUUAGAUCUCAAAAUGGUUUCUAAAUUAUUCGGAGUUUAUAAGAAAAUAGCCUGAUUUCAAUUUGGCAGCGUUUCCCCUCUCUCAAUUUUUCCAUCCCCUUCUUCAUCGAUUUCUUCUUCUUUUAUAGCCGAUGUCCCCACGUUCCCGCUUGCCCUUCAUCCCACCUUUUUUGGGUAGUGGUAGCCUCUCAUGGGGCUCUAACUGCUGCAUUAUGGGCAAACGUGGGAUCUCGCGUCUCCCGCAACGGUUCUGGGAAAGCACAACUACCGUGAUUCUGUGAGAUCGUGUUUCCGCUUUUCGGGGGACGGGUACCGGCUCGGUAUGUGGCUCUGGUCAGUAUUCGUCUCUGAUCGACUCAUGUUACCCCUGUUCUGCUCGUACCAUUUGGCUGAGGUGAUUCAUGCCGGGGUGGAAGUAGUAUCCUGGCCGACCUGGUGCUUUUAUUUGCUUAACACCAGUCCCCCAGUUUCUGGUCUUGUGAGUGAAAUGAGUCAAGAGUAGAAACUGAUAGUCGACUCUUACCAAUCCGGGGGUUUCUCCUCUGGUCUUCUGUCUACCGGGACGAACCUGAGCAAUUCAUUUUUCUUCGGGUGAGAUUUUGAUCUGGGCGUGGGCCUAAAUGAGCAUGUCCACUGCGCACCUGGGCUUGCAUCUAGCCCGGCCUCUUGUAACGGUUGGUGACAUGGCAUCUCCCGAUUCUUCGCAUUUGAAAUUUGAAACGACGGGCUAUCUGUCCUCGAUGUACGGUGAGUGAGCUGGCGUCCCCAUCACUUAAAUGCUUCCAUUUCCCCCCUUUUCGUUUUAAAUCCCUAGACUGGAGUCUUCACCAUCUUGUUACUCGUUUCUCCACCGUUAACCAAAUUUUCUCUGGACUUUGCUCACACUUCCAGCGUCCGGAGUAUCCAUUUGCUGGGUGUUUUCUCUGUCGCGGCGGCUCUAUCAGUGUCAGUCUAUUCCAGGUAUAGCCUUUAACAUUUUCUUCGGCUGUUGUUGAUUGGGUUCUGUGUUGCCCCUUUGUGUCCAUAUACUCGAGUUUUCUCUGUCUUCUUUUGGGAUUCCGGUAUGUCAAAUCGGAAGAGGAAGUUAAUUGUUGAUGAGGGUGAUGACGAAUCAGGGGAUUCAGGCCUCAACGUGCCAAUACCCACCGAUUUUUUAGGUCCCUCCAGUAGUGUAGGUCCUCCUCAUGGUAGGGAUACCCUUGAGUACCCACGCCCCCUGGUUGUCUCUCCCUCUCCCGAAUUAAAGCUUGUAGGAAAUAGGGGUGGACCUGCGUCGGGCUCUGGUGAGAACCACAGCUUUGGUGGGGUUGGGAUCCCUGAAGGAGUUGGUGAUGGUAAGGGGAGCAGUUCCGGACCGAGCAGACCUGCUCAGAAAAGGAACCUAGGCCAUAGGGUGGAGGCUGAUUCCUACCCUAUUGAUUUCAUGGCUUGUGCCACCACCCCCACCGAUCUAUUUAAACUUAGGAAUCUCUACAACAUCCCCAACGAGGUUCUUCUUGUAGUUCCUGGAAAAGGUGAUGUCCCUAGUCGGCCUCCGAAAUGGUAUGUGACGAUGCACUUGGAGAGUUUCAGACUAGGAGCUCGGCUACCCCUUCAACCUUACUUUGCCAAGAUACUGGGCGGUAUGCACCUGGCCCCAGGUCAGCUAUACCCAAAUGGGUGGAGGGUUCUCUCGGCAAUGUUUGUGUUGUGGGAGAGGUGCGGGUCGGAGGAGCCUUCUCUUGUUGAAGUGAAACAUCUGUACCAGCUGCGGAGUAGCCCGAAGGAGGCAGGCUGGUACUAUUUCAUGUCCAGUUCCGCAAAGAGGAAACCGAUCACUGGGUUUCCAUCUUCAUGUAAAAAUUGGAAGAACAAAUUCUUCUUUGCUGGAGGGAACUGGUGUCCAGCGGUUCAGUCGCUUGGUGGGGACAUUUAUCUUCCCACCCAUUUUGUCACUCCAGGUCGUUCAUUUUUGCCUAUAUUCUUUCUCAAAUUGCCACUCAUUGGGUUCUUUAACCUUGUUUGUUUUUUCAGAAUCGUGGGGUUUGGUGAAGGAUCUUGAAGACCGACCUUUGCUUCAGGUGGAAACUGCUCUGUUGAACGCGUCUACUUGCCAAGACCUCCUGUCGCCAACAAACUUGGUCGGUUCCCGCUUAGUAGAUAUUGCCACUGGAAUGGAUAACAAGAUCCUCAGCGCGUUGAGCAGAAAGCGUGGUCGGGCUCCGAGUAGCUCCAGCAACCCUCCUCCUCCUCCAAAGAAACCCAUCGUCGGUCCUUCCAAGGCGCCAGUUCCUGCUCUGCCCCCUCCUCCACCUCGAAAGAGUGGUGGGGAUAAAACCUCCGACAAGAGUCCUGAGGUCAGCUUGCAGUCUGGGGACCGCUCUUCUCCUCUUCCAUCUCGGGAUCAAGGUGACUACCUGAGCCCAUAUCAGAAGGAUUACAGAAAAUCGGUUGGGCCCAAGAUGGUGAAGGACAUCGAGAGCAUGAGCCUCUCCGAGUUAGCUGUUUCUGUUCAAAGAGUCUCCUUCAGGCUGGCCACAAUGGUCUCGUGCUACAAGACCGGGUCCGCGCGUCAUGAGAGGAAGCUCCAAGCUGAUAACCAGGAGUUGAAAAAGAAAGUCGAAUCUGCUGACCGUUCCAAGGAGAAACUGGCCGAGCUGAACAAGCAGCUUACGGAGCUUGAGGAGAAAGUUGCUGUUGCUGAGUCCACUUCCUCCAAGCUUGAGGAUGAGUUGGGUGAUCUGAAGUCCGAUCUUCAGGCUACCCAAAGUGAAAGGGAUACUCUGAGGGUCGCCCUUGAAGGAGAGAUCAAAUCCCUGAAGGACCAGCUGGCUGAGGAGAAAAGCAAAUCAGCUGACGUGGAUGAUCGGCUGGAUGCCGAGUAUGACUCCGGGGUUGCUUUCAGCUAUAAGUGCAUCAUGUCUGUGCUUAAGGAAGAAUAUCACGAGCUCGACAUGAGCAAGCUGGAAUCUGGGGUGGAGAGGUAUAUGGCUGGGGCCGGCUAGGGAGAUAAGGAGCAGGUGGAGGUUCCUUUUGAUGAGGUGCGGGAGGAAGGAGCUGGUCAGUGUGUUUUUGAAGUGGGACAAGGGUACGCGCCUCCUCCUCCCGUUAUUGCUGAUCUUCCACCUCCCGAGAUAGCCGACGCUUCUCCUGCUGAGGCCGUUGACCUUCCUAAUCCUUAGGUCUAUUUUUGUAAAAAACUCUAGAUUGUUAUUCGCUUUGUAAACAUUUGAACAUUUAUAAAUUUUUAAAUGCUCUCAAUUGGCUUUCUUGUCUGGUUUUGCUCACGGGUUGCUUCUGCAAAACAACUUGGCAAUUUAUCUGAUUUUGCCUGUUGGUUUUUUAGUGCAUUGAGCAGGAAUAGGCAUCCGUUUGCCUUAGCGAAAUUUUCGCAAAAUUGCCUGCUGGUCUUCGAUGACCGAGCAGGAGCGGACACUUAUUUGCCUUAGUAGAAUUGUCGUAAAUUUAGCUGCUGUUUUUCGUUGACCGAGCAGAGGUAGGCACUUAGUCGAAUUUUCGUAGCUUUAGCUGCUGGUCUUUCGUUGACCGAGCAGAAGAAGGCACUGAUUUGCCUUUGUAGAAUUUCCGUAGCUUUAGCUGCUGGUCUUUCGUUGACCGAGUAGAAGUAGGCACUUGCCUUAAUCGAAUUUUCGUAGCUUUAGCUGCUGGUCUUUCAUUGACCGAGCAGAAGUAGGCACUGAUUUGCCUUUGUAGAAUUUCCGUAGCUUUAGCUGCUGGUCUUUCGUUGACCGAGCAGAAGUAGGCACUUGCCUUAGUCGAAUUUUCGUAGCUUUAGCUGCUGGUCUUUCGUUGACCGAGCAGAAAUAGGCACUUUGUUGCCUUAGUAGAAUUGUCGAAGCUUUAGCUGCUGGUCUUUCGGUGACCGAGCAGAAACAGGCACUUUAUUGCCUUAGUAGGAUUUUUUGCAGAAUUAGCUGCUGGUCUUUAGUGGACCGAGCAGAAGUUGGCACUUACUUGCCUUAGUAGAAUCUUCGUAGGUUUAGCUGCUGGUCUUUCGUUGACCGAGCAGAAGUAGGCACUUACUUGCCUUAGUAGAAACUUCGUAAAUUUAGCUGCUGGUCUUUCGUUGACCGAGCAGAAGUAGGCACUUGCCUAGGUAAAACUUUUAUUGAUUAGACUAGCAGGGGGAUUUCAUGCUGAAUUCAUCUUUAUUUGAAAUUUGAAAGCAUUACAAGAAUACUGGAUACAUACAUGUGCAGCAAAGCCAUGAUGCAGUUAACAUUGAUAUCUUGUCAAAAUGGAGAUUUAGUAGAGCACUUUGCUUACUGGAAAUACUUCUUCAAGUGUUCGGCGUUCCAUGACCUCUUCACUUCUCGUCCAUCUUGGUGUGCUAAUUUAUAGGCUCCUGGUCCAGUGGCUCGUAUCACCCGGUACGGGCCUUCCCACUUUGGGCCAAGAGCGCCAUGAUUAGGAUCCCUGGUGUUCUGGUUCACCUUCCUAAGUACCCAAUCUCCUGCUCGGAACUGCCUCACGCGCACGUUCUUGUUGUAAUAACGCAUGACCCUUUGUUGGCACUGGGCCACUUUCUGCACUGCCCCUUCCCUUUUCUCCUCCAGCAGGUCCAGACUUAAGCAAAUCUGCUCGUCAUUUUGCUCCUUAGUGAAAUAUUCCGUCCGAUGUGUUCUCACUCCAACCUCUGCUGGGAUUACCGCCUCAUGACCAAAGGCUAAAGCGAACAGUGUUUCUCCUGUGGUGGUUUUGUGAGUUGUCCUGUAGGCCCACAGUACUCCUGGUAGCUCGUCAACCUAAGCUCCCUUCUUCUCUCCCAAUCUAGUCUUUAGGAGCUUCUUUAUCACCUUGUUGGCUGCUUCCACUUGUCCGUUUGCCUGGGGGUGUGCGGGGGUGCAGAACUUCAGGUCCACCCCCAGGUUUCGGCAAAAUUCCCUGAAGUUGCCGUUGUCAAAUUGCCUCCCAUUGUCCGUGAUGAUGGCGUAGGGGAUCCCAUAUUUGCAGAUGAUAUUCUUCCAAAUAAAAUCUGUUGUCUUCCUCUCCGUGAUCUGGCUGAGGACUCCUACUUCCACCCACUUGGUGAAGUAGUCUAUUGCCACAAUUGCAUGUGUCGCCGCUCCUCGUCCCUUAGGCAAUGGACCAAUCAAGUCGAUUCCCCAUUGAGCGAAAGGCCAUGGGGAUGUCAUAGCCGUCAGCUUUUCCGGGGGUUGUGCAGGAACCUCGGAGAAGCUUUGGCAUGUUUUACAAUUCUUUGCCAUCCUUUUGGCAUCCUGGUGCAUGGUUGGCCAGAAGUAUCCUUGCCGGAGUGCCUUGAAGGCUAAAGUUCUUGCUCCCGAGCGAUUGCCGCAUAUUCCCUCGUGAAUCUCUCUCAGCACAUAAUCCGCCUCCUCAUCAUCCAAACAUCUCAAAAGGGGCAAGGUGAACCCUCGGCGGUACAGCACUCCAUCCAGUAGCGUAUACCUUGCUGCUCGGCAUUUUAAUUUUCUUGCUUGCCUUUUGUCCUAUGGUAAAACUCCAUCGCGGACAUAUGCGCGAAUCGGGUCCAUCCAGGAUUCUCCAGUACUUACUCUCAUCACCUCUGCUUCUUCCUCAAUACUUGGUGAGGUCCUUACCUCUAGUGGAACUGACUUCGGUAACUUUGGAUCUGCAAUGGCUGCCAUCCUAGCCAGCAUAUCUGCUCGGAAAUUCUCAUUCCGGGAUAUCUGCUUUACCUCCACUGCUUGGAAAAGCCCAACCAUCUGCUUCGCCUUCUUUAAAUAAAGACCCAUCUUCUCUCCCCUUGCUUGGAACUGAUCAUUGAGCUGAUUACACACCAGUUGGGAAUCUGCUCGAAUUUCUACCCUCUCUGCUCUUAGAGCGUGUGCAAGUCCGAGCCCGGUGAUAAAGGCCUCAUAUUCAGCUUGGUUGUUUGUGAGCUGAAAGUCAAACUUCACUGCAUACGUUAUUUCGGUUCCUUCUAGGCUCUGUAUUACAACUCCUGCUCCGGAUCCUUGCUCACUACAUGAUCCGUCAACCAUUACCAACCACAACCCCUCUGGUUUCUCCUGCUCUGCUGCUUGCUCCUCCCGAAUUUCUUUCCCUGUAUCGGCUCGGUCAACCAUAAAUUCAGCCAGAGCUUGGGCCUUGAUUGCUCCUCGGGGCCUGUAAGAGAGGUCGAAUUCACUUAGCUCUACGGACCAUUUUACUAGUCGACCCGAUGCAUCUGGUUUUUGAAGUGUUUGCCGAAGGGGCUGGUCGGUCAUAACAAUAACCUGAUGGGCCUGAAAAUAUGGUCGAAGUUUUCGUGCUGCCGUUAUUAGAGCUAGCGCCCACUUCUCCANNNNNNNNNNNNNNNNNNNNNNNNNNNNNNNNNNNNNNNNNNNNNNNNNNNNNNNNNNNNNNNNNNNNNNNNNNNNNNNNNNNNNNNNNNNNNNNNNNNNNNNNNNNNNNNNNNNNNNNNNNNNNNNNNNNNNNNNNNNNNNNNNNNNNNNNNNNNNNNNNNNNNNNNNNNNNNNNNNNNNNNNNNNNNNNNNNNNNNNNNNNNNNNNNNNNNNNNNNNNNNNNNNNNNNNNNNNNNNNNNNNNNNNNNNNNNNNNNNNNNNNNNNNNNNNNNNNNNNNNNNNNNNNNNNNNNNNNNNNNNNNNNNNNNNNNNNNNNNNNNNNNNNNNNNNNNNNNNNNNNNNNNNNNNNNNNNNNNNNNNNNNNNNNNNNNNNNNNNNNNNNNNNNNNNNNNNNNNNNNNNNNNNNNNNNNNNNNNNNNNNNNNNNNNNNNNNNNNNNNNNNNNNNNNNNNNNNNNNNNNNNNNNNNNNNNNNNNNNNNNNNNNNNNNNNNNNNNNNNNNNNNNNAGAUGCUUCACAUGAUCCGUCGUCUCUUUGGACUUUGUAAUCAUAUCAUCCACAUAUACCUCCAUAGUGUAUCCAAUCAACGGUUUGAAGAUCUUGUUUACCAACCUUUGAUAGGUGGCUCCUGCAUUUUUUAGGCCGAAAGGCAUUACCCUGUAACAAAACAAACCCAUGUUAGUUAUAAAGGCAGUGCUUUCCUCAUCCUGCUCGUCCAUGGGUAUCUGGUUGUAUCCAGAAAAGGCAUCCAUGAAACUGAGCAGACUGUGACCUGCUGUUGAGUCCACCAGCUGAUCUAUUUUGGGUAGGGGAAAACUGUCCUUUGGGCAUGCCUUAUUGAGGUCCGUGAAGUCCACACACAUUCUCCACUUCCCGUUGGCCUUUUUUACCAGGACUACAUUUGAAAUCCAUUCUGGGUACUUGGCUUCCCUUAUAAAUCCUGCUUUCAACAACUUCUCCACCUCGGCGUUUAUGGCCUCGUACCUUUCCUGGUUGCAGCAUCUCCUCUUCUGUCUCACCGGCCUUGCCCCCUUCUUGAUUGCCAACUUGUGGCAAGCUACCCCGCGAUCAAUUCCGGGCAUAUCUUCAUGAGACCAGGCGAAUAUAUCCGCAUGAGACUGUAGGCAAUUUACCAGCUCGCCUUUUACUGCCCCAAUCAAUCCUGACCCGAUCUUCACUACUCUGCUCGGGUUGCUUUUGCUUAUCGCAACUUCCUCCAGUUUCUCAACAGGCUCUUGGCGGCCCUUUUUAGACUCUCCUCGAUUAUCUAGAGAAGUAACCUGUAGUGUCUCCUUGGCCGCCGUAGCUUAACAACUCCUUGCCACCCUCUGGUCGCCUUUUACUACGCCAACCACCCCAUUUAUUCUGUAUUUCAGCGCCAAGUAAUGCGUGGAUACAACGCAUUGGCUUAUCCUCAUGAAUGGUCUCCCCAGUAUCAUCUGGUAAGGGCUUCUUUCCUCUACCACGACGAAGUCCAGCAUCAUCGUUCUUUCAAACGGCUUUGUCCCCACAAUAAUCGGGAGUUCAAUGAUCCCCAAGGGAGUUAACUGUCCCCCUCCAAAUCCUUUUAAGGAAGUAUUUGUCCGUUCCAGCUUUAAAUCUGAAAUCCCCAUAUCAUCUAGGGCUGACUUAAAUAGAAUGUCAACUGAACUGCCCGUGUCCACCAGUAUUCGCCGCAAUUCUGUGCUAGCCACCGAUGCUUUAAUUACUAGUGCAUCCUCAUGAGGAUAUAAAAUACCCUCUUCAUCCUCAUCUGUCCACAUAAUGGGAACUUGUCGCGCUUUUGCCUUCUUGGUUGCUGGCAAAUUGAAAAGCACUUCUUUGCUAGUCAGGGCGUAUCUCCCAUAGUUCUUCCGUGCCCUGUUCGAAUCUCCGGCCAAUGUUGGUCCUCCUGCUAUCACACGGAUAGUCGGCUGUUCACGUUCCAGAUCCCUCUCAACUCCCUCAUCCCGUGUGUACUGUGAUUCCAUGACAGGGGAUAUUCCAUCUACAUACUCGUCCAAGUAUCGGUUCCUCACUAAAUCCUCCACCUGAAUCUUCAGGUCACGACAUUGGCUGAUAGUGUGACCGUGAGUGUCGUGGAACUUGCAUAAUCGGCUCUUAUCCCGUCGGUGAGUCGGUUUUAUUAUUGGGGCUGGAGGGUACAACAGGCCUCGUCCCUCGAUCCUCUCAUACAAUUCCUCCAUGGAGAUCUUUAGCGGAGUGUAUUGUCUAUAUGCCAAGCUCUGGUCUACCAGCUGAACUGCUCGGCUAUCAUGAACGUCACCUCGGGAUGGCAUAGUCGCUGACUGAUCUGGUCGUCUAGCCCUGGAACUGGUUACGUGUAAUGCUCUGGGAGUGUUAUGAUAGCGGUCGGCAGCCAUCUGCCGGAAUUCUCGCUGCCGAUCCGGGAAUGGGGGACGUGGAGGUUGAGCCCGGUUGUGCUGGAACUGUUGUGAUCUCGGAGUUAUGGGGUAAGGGCGGGAUCGAGCUGAUGUUCCGCCCCUUACUGAGGGUUCCCCAGCUCGCUUUCCCGACCCGCUCCCAUUUGGAGUUCUCAUUUCCUUUCGUCUCAGCUCCUCCAGCUAUUCACUCUUUAUCUUUGCCGAUUUUUCUUCUUCGAUUUCGAUAUCUCUCUUUGCCUGCUCAUAUCCUGCUGAAUAAUUCUGCACCAGGGGGCUUCUCAGGUUAUACCAUAGCCGGCCUAUCCUCACACCCUCCUUUAAACCCCUCAACACCUGCGGGUGAUUGAAAGCUCCCAAAUCAAGUACGGCUCGGUGGUAUCGCUUUACAAAAUCCCGUAGGGACUCGUGCUCCUCCUGUUUCAUCCCCAUCAGUUCCAUCAUGUCGUCCUCUAGGGCUACUGCCCCUCGGAACUGCUCGGCCAACUCCUGGCACAUCUGCUCAUACCCCUUUAUACUUCCUCCGGGCAGCUUGCGGUACCAUUCUCGAGCUCGUCCCUCUAGUGUCAACGGGAACGCCCUGCAUCUCUGAGCUGAUGUCAGCCCCUGCACACCCGUCAUAUCGUUGAAACGCUCAAUGUACACCAGUUGGUCACUUCGCCCGGAGUAUUUGAGGUUGGGGAAGCGGAAAUCUCUUGGGAUUAUGAUACCCAUGAUCUCGAUUGAUAACAGAGAUUCUUCAUCUAACAUUAUCCUCCAGCUCGGGGGCUUUCUCUUGCCUUGUAUCUCCUCUAUCACCUGCGCCAACCUGCGCACCUCCCCCUCCAAUUCUAUAGCACGGCUAGGAUCACGCGCAGCUAUCUGGUCUCGCUUCUGCUCAGCGUUCUGCAACCGCUGUCUGAGCUCUCCUUCAUCAACACUGGCACCUCGGCCAGUAGUUUCCAGUACCCAUCCGGGGCGAGUUUGGUCUCUCCCUUCAUCCCCGUGUUCUCCUGGGACCCGGCCAGUACUUCUGUGGGGAUGCACCCCAUUAGGUUGGUCUGCGGGCGGAGGAAUGUCCUCGACUCUACGUCUCCGGAGGCUGGGUUCUGCUCCGACUUCAUCUCUUCCCACGGGGGUUUCACAAUCCCUUCUCCGCUCAUCCCUCAGCUCAAACAAUAUGGACGUGAGAGUCUCCAUUUGUUUCUCCAUCCGCUCCAGUCUGUCUUGCAUCAUCCUCUCUCGGGCUUCAUUCGCAAUUUCCCGGAGAGUGAUUGUCUCCCCAGCCUCGUUAUCCUCCCCAAAAGCGUCCUUUCUCGUCACAUCCAUGUCCAACCGUUCGCUAUUUCUCCGGUACUUCCUAAUUCGGUGGUAGCUUUUUAUCCAGCUCCCCACAGACGGCGCCAAAAUGUUGAUGCUUAAAUCUGCUCGCCUUUAGACCGACCAGAUUCUUUCACCAACGUUUGUGUUAUCUACUGUUGCUCGUUCACUGGGAUUGGAAUCGUCCUUCUUUCUCACAAUAGACCUGCGCUCACCAAAAACGGAUCAGAGACGCCGGUGGUUUUGCCGGCGUAAACCCUCCGAUGCUUAAGUUAGCUCAAGGUGUUUACGGGAAAACAGUGCAAUUUAGAUCUCAAAAUGGUUUCUAAAUUAUUCGGAGUUUAUAAGAAAAUAGCCUGGUUUCAAUUUGGCAGCGUUUCCCCUCUCUCAAUUUUUCCAUCCCCUUCUUCAUCGAUUUCUUCUUCUUUUAUAGCCGAUGUCCCCACGUUCCCGCUUGCCCUUCAUCCCACCUUUUUCGGGUAGUGGUAGCCUCUCAUGGGGCUCUAACUGCUGCAUUAUGGGCAAACGUGGGAUCUCGCGUCUCCCGCAACGGUUCUGGGAAAGCACAACUACCGUGAUUCUGUGAGAUCGUGUUUCCGCUUUUCGGGGGACGGGUACCGGCUCGGUAUGUGGCUCUGGUCAGUAUUCGUCUCUGAUCGACUCAUGUUACCCCUGUUCUGCUCGUACCAUUUGGCUGAGGUGAUUCAUGCCGGGGUGGAAGUAGUAUCCUGGCCGACCUGGUGCUUUUAUUUGCUUAACAUUGCCCAAGUGGUAUGCCUUUGUGGUCGUAAUUUUCAUUUGCAUAUACGUUGCCGCGUUUGCCUGGUCUUGGGGUCCUCUUGGAUGGUUAGUGCGCAGUGAAAUUUUCCCACUCGAAAUCCGGUCAGCAGCACAAAGCGUGAAUGUUUCUGUGAACAUGGCAUUCACAUUUUUGGUUGCACAAGUAUUCUUAAACAUGCUUUGCCAUCUCAAGUUUGGCCUGUUCAUUUUCUUCGCAUUCUUCGUCGUGCUGAUGACCAUUUUUAUCCACUUCUUCUUGCCCGAGACUAAAGGAAUUCCAAUCGAAGAAAUGGGUCAAGUGUGGAAGAAUCAUUGGUUCUGGUCCCGUUAUGUUGGCCAAGAUGAUUUCCUCGCCAAUGGAGGCCUAGAGAUGCACAAAGAAGAAACUGAUGUCAACAAUGUCUGAUCUGCAUGCUCAACUCCAUCCGGAUUUUUGUUUAGUUUCUAUUUUUAUUUUUUAUAUUUUUUAACAGUAAGUAGUAGUAGUACAGUUAUUCUGUCGGUUUAUUAUUCUAGCCUUAUCAAUGCCUUUUCUAUUCGACUUUAGUAGUGUUUAUUACAAUUUCUAAAGAAAUUAAUUUCAUGUAAGUUUUUACUUUAAUCAUUUUCCUUGUUUGGGUUCUCUGUUUUUCCUUUUUUUUUUUUUUUUUCAUCAGAAAUCGUCACUCUUACAAUUUGGACCAAGAAAUUCUUCACACAGGAAUCUGAAGAAAAAUUAACAAGGAUUGAAAAUUUUGACUUAUUGUUUAUCUUUUUUUUUUCUUUUCUCUUUUCCGUCUUCUCUUCUCAUUAAACAGACAUUAAGGCAAAAUUAAUAAAUUAUUUUAUUAUUGGUCUUAUCGUGAGUAGAAAAUCAUUGGUGCAAAUUCAAUUAUUUAGAUCAACAGAAAUUUUGGGAUAUGAAUCAAUGAGAAAAUUUUAAGUAUUCCUAAAAUAUUAUUCCUAUUUUAUCGUGAGUAGAAUAUGACCACCUUAUAUUAACUCAAGCUUUUUAUUUAAAAUUUUAACAUAAAUUCUCAUCUAUAAACUUUGUGGCAAAAUCUUAAGUUGAAAUAGGGAGAAAAAAAUCUAAAGAAUGUAUAAAAUUUGUAGAAAGAAAAGCCGCACGUGAGAUAUGUCAAAAUCAAAAUUCAUCAAUACAUCAAAUUUCAUAUACAUGGCAACUUAAACUCGCACAGUUCAAUGUCAAAAUUUAACUUUUAUCAAAAAGUAACGUUGCAUCCUCAUUUUACCUUUAACUCUAAGAGGUGUUGCAAUGGCCAAAGUAGCCAGUCAAUCUUUCUUUUGACGUUAUUUAAUCAUUCUGUACAGCAGAACACCCAUCAACUACUCUCAUCCUGGCCAUAGCUGCCUGCAUUGAGGAGUUGCUAAAGUUUAACAAUGAAAAAUAAAGCAACGAAAAAAUAAAUUUAACUUGAAUUAAUCAAGAACCUGUUUUUUCCAGUUUGUGAAAGUUGUAGCAAGAGAAAGAAGGGUGGACUGCACAACAGAGCCAGCCACUAUUCCGAUCCAAAGUCCCUUUCCUCUUAAAUGUGCUACAAAACCCAACACGGCACCCACUGGCAACCCAACUAAAUAAAAUGCCCCAAGGUUUAUGUACACCCUAUAUGCUGCCAUCCACACCCUUUCGCAACCCCUAUUGCAAACGUAGAAUCCACCUUUAUUAAGAAAUGAAAAUUUGAACCGCAUUUGAAUCCCAGAUGUUUUGUGGUUUGUGUAUUCAAGAGAUAAUUACCAACUGAUCUAGUCAACACCAACCUCUUGGAUGUAUACUUUAUAUGUGUGUGUCUAUAUAUAUAUAUAUAUAUAUAUAUAUAUAUAGCAUGUAUCUAUUUAACUAUUACGACAUUUACCAAAUGAUAUAUAAGUCAACAGUGACUCUUCAGUCUCCCAUAUUAUUAUCCAACAAAGACUUUAAUUGAAAGAAGUGUAAUUAGAAAGCAACUACUAACCAGAAAAAACAGCUUGUAAGCUGUCUGUAAUAACUGAGAGACAAAUCAGAGGAGCCAUAACAACAACAUAAUGCACAACUUGGUUGUCUUUGGUGUAAGCGUAACCCAAAAAAUAGCGGCAGCAGAAGAGGAUCGUGCCGACUAUCACUGCCUCUACCACAGCAUAACUUGUUGCAGCCCAUACAGCCACUCUAGCUGCUUGCAGAUUCCCAGCUCCAAGCUCAUUUGAAACUCGAGUACUAUACAUGACAUAUAUAUUAACAUGCACAUAGUCAAAUGCUAGCCUGCUCCAUUUGUAUUAUUUUAAAAAAAAUGCAAAUCACAGGGAGCAACCAAAAGCAAGAAAAAAAAAAGACCUUGCAGCUACUCCAAAAGCAUAUGGUAUUGUGAAGUGCAAUGUUGAAAUUGUAAGGCUGAUCAUAAAACAACAACGAUUAGAAGCAUAUACAGUUUAAUUCUAGGACAAUUUAUAAGUCAAAAUUAAAUAGUUAUAACUAAAAUAGGAGCUAAUUACCAAAUUGAAAGUACUGAAGUCUCCAGCUUGGGAUUCGGUAAAAGGCCGGAUAACAAAAUUAAGAUCUCCAUCGACCACCAUUUUAGACUAAUUAAUCACCAUAAUCGAUCACAAUAAGAGAGAGACUUUUGAGAUUAAAAGAGAAGAAACAACACAAAAAGCAAAAUUACCAUUCUAAGAGAUAAGAGGAAUAAUUACCAAACCAUUAUGGCAGAAGGUAUAGCCAAGCGAAAGAACUGUCCAAUGGCUAGUAAAGAUUCUUUAGAAACCGGCGCGCGAGUUUUCUCACAAGCUGAGGAGUACAUCAUGUACAAUCCGAGCAGUAUCACAUUCAACCAAGUUGAUAGACUGAAGGCUAGAGCUGCACCCAUGCUUCCUAAUUCUAGUUUGAACACAAGAGUCCAGCACGCAGGUAUAUGAAAACAUAGAAUUAGAAAAGAACUUGCAAACAUGGGAAGAAUCAAGCUCUGAGUCUGAAAGUAUCGGGUUAGUGGUUUCAGGAUUGCACUCCCGAAUAAUGCAGGGAUUAGCCACAUUGAAUACUUGCGUGCUUCGUGGGAGAUUACAGGAUCUUGGCCUAUUAGAGGUAACAAUUUGUCCAUAAAAAUCCACAACAGGCAAACUAGAGGGCAAACAAGAAUCAACGAAAUUAUGGCAGUGUAAGUAUGAACUCCAAGCUUCCGAAAUUGUGCUGCUCCAUAAGCUUGCCCACAUAGAGUUUCCAAUCCACCAGCCAUUCCUGACUGCUUGGCAAGUCCAAAUUAAAUUCAAUCAUUAAUCAUCAAAAUUAUCUCUAGGAUUAAUUAAACCUGAAGAUGAAGGUAAUGUGAGUAGAGAGCAGCAAACUUACUAGAAGACUAAAGCCGGUAACAUUUGUGAGAGAGGUGGCAAUGGCUACACUAGACAGGGCAAGCUGGCUUAGAUGUCCCACCAUUACCGUUGACACAACUUGCAGAAGGUACUGCAACACAGAGACUGCCACCAUUGGUGCCGCGAUACGGCCAGUCUUCUUCAGCUCUUCCAUAAAUCCACCCCAUGUAAUUGCCCAUCUCUUCUCCUGGCUCUCUCCAACUUCCAUAUCCAUGCAAAAUUGAUAAAUGAUAAUAAUGAUGGUAUCUUAGUUUGCUUUGCCACUAUUAAUAAAAAGAGCCAAUCCAAAGAAACACGAAGUUUGUAUGCUGUCCUCUGUUUUGGCUUUACUUGAGAAUUCAAUAUUAACGAUUUUAUGUUUUGACUGUUCAAAAGAGCAUGCCGAGAGGUUCAAAUUAGUGGACUCUAAUUCCCAACUUUCUGUUGUUUAUAAUCAUUAUUAUACAUUCCCCACGAGCACGGCACAGACAUGAGUAAUGCGGCAAGGGUGCGUUUCGCACACUGCAUUGUAUUAUGUUGUAUUGCAUUAUUUUAAUAUUGGUGUAUUAUAUUAUGCUGUAUUGUAUUAGCAUUGUAUUAUAAUAAUGUUAUAUAAUGUUUGGUGUUAUACUGUACUGUAUUAUUUUUUUAAUUAAUUUAAAUUAAAUAUUAUAUUAUAUUAAUGUUUUAUAUUAUAUUAAUAUAUUUAAAUUGCAUUAAUAUUUUAUGUUAUUAUUUAUAUUAUUAUUAAUUUUAAAUUAAUAUUAUUCAAAUUUAUUCAUAUUUAAAUAUUUUUAUUAGUUAUAAUAAGUUAUAAAUUUAUUAAUAAAUUAUAAUGUAAAAAUAAAAAAUAUACUAUUAUUGAAUGAUAAAUUAUUAAUUUAUUAAUUAUAUUAAUAAUUAUAAUGUAAAAAUAAAUAAAAUAAAAAUAUUAUAUUAAAUUAAAAACCAUAUUUAUUUAUUAUUUUAAUAUUAUAAUAAUAAUAAAGUGAAAAGCAAAAUAAAAUUAAAAAAAAAAAAACAAAGCUAAUGCGUCAGUUGACGCAUUAGCCUCCCACCCCAAUCCCUUGCAAUUUUAUUCCAAACAUAGGUUUGGUAUUAUGUUAAUGUAAACAGUAUUAUAAUAUCCCCUUAAUACUAUAAUCAAACACACCCUAAGAUAAUUGCUGGUGUUUAAUCGGUCAGAUUUUUCAUCUUUUCUCGAUCUUUUGAAAAAUCAUAAUAAUGAUUAUAAUAGAUCCCCAGACACGUAGAUGGGAUUGAGAUUUUGUCUGAUAUGGCUUGAUUUGAAGUAUUUUUUUAUAUCUGCAAUUCUGCAUAUAGUAAGUACAAUCAUAUCUUCUGAGUGAUAGACUUCAUUUUUGGCCGUUCUGAACAAAAACUAUGUUCAAUGACAGUACUGAACUCUAAAUUUCAGUGGAAUAUAAUAAAGGAGAGGAAUAAAAAAGCAUAUUGCAAAUUGGAUGUACUCUCUCACAUCUGAAUCAUUUAAUAAUUGCUUUUGGAAGCACAUUUUUGACUAGUUACUACAUAAUAUCAGCUUAGAAGAAACAGAUGCGAUUCCCCUAGUGGCUUUCAAAUUGCAAUCAGUUGUACGCGAGCGAUUCCUUAACAGAUGAGAAGAAAGAAAAAUGGCAAAAAAGGAAAAAAAACAAUUCUGAUGUUUUCAGGAGUCAGUAGAUGCUGUUGAAAUACAUAUUUUUCACUGUCCUCCCCUUAACUAUGUUAGACUUUAUGUCUAAAUUCGCACUUGUCUCCCAAGAUUUUGAUGGACUGUUAACAUGGAUGACUAAAUGAAUAAAAAUACAUAGACGCCCCUGAUUUGAAGCAAAAUCACCAUGCCAGGAAACAAAACAGCUCGUGUAUAAAGAGAUGACAGUGUUAAUUUCGACAAAAAGAAACUGUGGGUUGGACAAAAUCCAUGAGAGGAUAGUGAAAAAUAUAUAUUUUGAUAUAAUGUAUAUAGUAUAUCAUUUCAAAACUCAAAAGUCGUUUCGUUCUUUAAAAAAAUUCCACUGCUUUAAAAUUAAAAAUCACAUUUAUAAUUAAUUUUUUUAUCAAGUUCUAAAUCCUUUUAUUUUGUCAACAUCCUAAAAUUAUAAUAAGAAUUAACUAUGCUUUGAUUGAUAAAACUAAUGGGGAUUUCGUUCUUAUUUGAUAAAAUCAAUAGUCAUUUCGUUCUUAUUUAAUGUGUUUCCAACUUGUGAGCAAUGGGAGGUAGAAAGCAAACUUGUCCACUUUCAAUUCCCAAACUCAUAAGAAUCAGACCUUUUUUUUUUCAAAUGAUCAAAUAAAUACAAUUGGCUACUUUGACAGACAGGAACAAUACAAGUGUCUUAACAUGUCGAUCAAAUGGCCAAAAGUAAGACGCAAUCCCUAAGUCUAACUUACAAUUGCUAAAAAUAACGUAAAAAUGGACCAGUAUCAUCAUUUUACCUCGUCUUUAAUGGUUGUCAGUUACACUAAAUAUAUUUUAAGGAGACAAUAAUAAUAAUAAUAAUAAUAAUAACAAUUUGAGUAGAAAUUAUCACGAACAUAUUCCUGCAUAUCUUAACAUCUUCAAAGAUAUGUGACUUAUUGAUGUGACGCUCCAUUUUAUCAAACAGUUGCAUCAGAAAAUUCUGAAGGGACUACAAAUGCCUUUUGAUGCAUAGAAGAUUUACAUUACUGACAAACCAAGGACAAAGCAGAAAGAAGCAAGUUUCGAUUUGUUUCUCAGCCAAAAAUCAAGUUCUUCCAUUAUCUUCUGUCUACUUCUUCCCCUAUUAACUCCAAUUUUUGCUCAGACCCUUGGUUUUGGAAUUGGGCAAGUAAUUGGAGGAGUCAAAGAGAAAGAAAGUAAACAAAAUAUAAAUAUAUAUAUCAGCAACUCCCUAGAUCUAAUCUGCUUCUGGCUCAGUUAGGUGAUCAGUCAUUAAGAUCUAUUGCCUCUCCACCUUCUUACUAGUACUCCCAGCCCUUUAGAGCAAAUUAUUAAACCAACCCUCGGAAAGUUCAGACACAUCCUUUGUAUUCCAACUGUGCAAGUGUAAUGUUAACCUAAGGUUCUCUUUCUUUUCAUUUGUAUGCUUGAAGAAAAAUCAACAAGAAAAUGCAAUACCAGCAGGUAUUAUUUGUAAUUCAUAUGGAAAUUAUCAUUAACAUAUGCCUACAUAUCGAAAUCUUCAAAAGGUUGUCAGAGUUUAUCCGCAGCAAUCCAAUCUAUUUUAUCAAAGACAGAAAAACUUAUGUUCAAGCAGAACAAUCAAAAGGGAAAGUAAAUGCCCGAAUUUUGAGCUAGCACCAAUAAAUUGAAGAUGUACAUUAUUGACAAGCCUAGAACAAUAUCAGCUUGAAAAGAAGCAGAUAAAAGCACAUAUUUAGACAAGAGAAACUUACAAACUACCUCAGUUUUUGUGCUGCAGUUGGGACACCAGAUGAACUCAAGUUGGCCCUUUCUGAAUCGUUUGCUGCACGAAAGCCAGCUGUAAUAAAUGUUACUAUUGAUCCCUAUGCCAGUACAAACUACCUCAGUUUUUGUGCUGCAUCCUACCACUUUCUGCACCGGCAUAGGGUUCAAUAAUAACAUUUAUUAAAGCUGGCUUUCGUGCAGCAAACGAUUCAGAAAGGGCCGACUUGAGUUCAUCUGGUGUCCCAACUAAAUAUCCUUUUCCCCCAAAAGCUUCCAUGAGCUUAUGAUAAGCUGCACCAGGUACAAAAGAAGUAGGUGCAGGAUCAUCUUUGAAAGGCCCUGCAAUUUCUUCAGGGUUUCUGCGAUCUCCACCAUACACACCACCAUUAUUAAAAACUAUCACGACAACAGGCAACUGAUAUCGAACCAAUGUCUGCAAAAUCAGAAGAAACAGAGACCACAUUAGUCUCUUUUUCCUCUCCCACCUUUUUCCAUUUAUUGGAUGAGGAUAUGCUAUACGUAUGAAUCAACUUUGGACUUAGACAAAGUAAAAUUCAUUUAUUCCAUUAAUUGAUUAACAUUGACACACUAUCUUCUAAAAAUUCAUUUAUUCCAUUAAUCAAUCUUCUAACUACACAGAUAUGCAAACAUCCAAGUGCGAGCACAUCACAAGCACAAAUUCUCAUUUUUCAUUCAGAAGGAAAGUGAAAAAGAGGGGGGGAAAAUGGAAGGUAUCUACAAUAAAAAACCCUCAUCUAAGUCACACAUCAAUGAAGAAUGCAAUAGAAGAAAUCUUUCCACUAAAUACAGAAAGAUGCACCAAGAACUACCCUUCUGAAAGCAAGGCAGCAAUUACGCAAGUUCGGAUUAGCUAAAACUAAAUCCGACAGUGGCCAUAUAGCAUUUGAUAAUUACAAGACUACUCGUUCACUAGAAUAGAACCAGCAUCAAAAGAAACUCAAAUAUCCAAAUCGUAAGAAAAUUAAGGAUAUAUUGAGAAAAGGAAGACACAGGGGAUAAAAGCCAUUUAGGAACCGUACCAUCAACUAUCGAUCCCUGAGAAAAAAGGAAAUGAGCUAGGAAACUAGAUAAAGUAAAACCUAAACAGUAUGUCCUAAAAUCAAGAAGCCAGACUGCCUGUAAUGAGCAAGCGAAGUUUUCCAAAUUUGUGACCAUCAUCCCAGUAAAUAAUGAAAUGCUUUAGAACGCAUGAUAAAGUUGAUGCUGGCACUCAAAGCUUUAAACAAGCAAGAUUUGACUUCCCAAACUAAGGUAGUCAGUCUCUCCCAUCAAAUAGAGAAGGAUCCAGUACAAGCUGAUGAUCAAAACUUAGAUUUGCCUAUAUCCACUUGAAACUGCAUCAGCCUUCAAAUUCUUCAAAAGUUAUUACCAUAGGAAGACAACUCACAAAUGUCCUAAAUCUUUAAAAUCUAAUAUUAGACCAUUGGAGAUGUGCCGCAGAUUUCAAUAUUAAAGCGAAAGUAGAAUAAAAUGGAACGCUAAAGAGAAUCUUAAAAUAACAAAAUAAUCAUAAAUGACUAGCAAUUUGCAUCAUGUUUGUUGAUGAAUUAAGGAAGUCAAGCAUGGUGUACAAGUUUAUUCUUGUGAAUAAAAUGUAUGCAUAAAUAUCGUUAUAUGCUAGAGAUCAUAAUUAUGCAAGAGAGCCAUACCUCAACCUCAACCGCACUGAACCCAAAUCCAGAGUCUCCUUCAACAGCAACCACAAGCCGUUCAGGGCAAGCUAUUGCAGCAGCAAUGCAAUACCCUAAACCAACCCCCAUGGUCCCCCAAGUCCCUGCAUCCAGCCUACAACGAGGCUCAGUUUGAACCAAUACUGCCCUACCCACAUCCAUAGUAUUUGCCCCUUCAGAUACCAAUAUAGGAGCGGGGCUCCCGACUCCUAAGAUCGCAUCUCUUAUAAUCCUCAUUGGCGUCAUGAAAUUAAACGGCACAACAUCCUUCACCAACUGAACCUCCAUUUUCAACACAUUGUCAUUCGUUUUCUUCCAAAUAGCCUCAACCCAAGGAUGAUUUUUCCCCAAACAAAAAGGUUCAUCUUUAAUCUCCUUAUUAAUCAUUUCCAACACUUUUUUAGCAUCUCCAACCAAACCCAAGUGUGGUUUCCUUAACUCAAUCUCUUCCUUGCAAACAUCAACCAAAACAAACUUCACAUCCUUCGACCACUUCGGUGGCUCACCAAAAUGCAACAACCAAUUAAGCCUCGCACCAACAACAAGCGCAACAUCACAUUGACCUAUGGCUAAUGACCUCGCAGCGGUAGCAGCAAGCGGAUGGGUAUCAGGCAACAGACCUUUACCCAUUGGAGUAGGCAAAAAUGGAAUCCCAGUGCUUUCAACUAAUUUCUUCAAUUCACCCUCAGCUCGCGCAUAAGCUGCGCCUUUCCCAAACACAAUCAACGGCUUCUUUGCUUCUUUAAGCAAAGACACCGCUUUAUCGAUAUCAGAAUUCACAAUCCCCCCUUGCGUCACCGUUUCUUUGGCACUCUCCGCUUCCUUCAGAAGCUUCUCCGCUUCAGAUACCGAUAUCGUUUGAUGUAAAACAUCAGUGGGUAGAUCCAAAUAACACCCGCCGGGCCGCCCCGAAACAGCUCGUUCAAGAACCUGAGCGACACACUUGGGAACUUCCGUAAUGUCCUUCGCUUUUACAGCAAAUUUCGAAAAAGGCUUGACGGCUUCCACUUGGUCGAGUUCUUGAAAAUCGCCGCGGCCAAAAUCUUUCUGAUCGCAGGAGCCGGAUAUCAUGACGAUUGGCCACGUGUUAAUCAUCCCAUUCGAGAGACCAGCCAGACCGUGCACGUAACCCGGACCGGAAACAGUUAACAGAAUGCCGGAUUUUCCAGUCAGGUAUCCGUAGGCGGAGGCGGCGUAGCCAGCGGACUGCUCAUUGUGGAAGGCGAUGAACCGGACGCCGAGCUGGACGGCCCGGUUCGCUAAGGAAGUAACGGGAAUGCCCACCACGCCGAACAUGUGGGUGGCACCGAAUAGUGACAAGGAUUUGGCCGCCAGGGUGUUGCCGUCGAUCUGGGCAUUUUGGGAAUUUUGCAACUCCGAACCCGCCAUUGCUUGCUAGAUGUGUGUGUUUGUGCUAAUGCCCGAGUGAGAAGUGGACGGGGCAAGGGUAAACAAUUUUUUUUUUUUUUUUUUACCACGAGUUAUUUUGGGGUGGAUUAACAGUGGGAGAUACUUCAAGUUCCUAUCAUAAUUUAGAGAGAGACACUUUUAAGUUCGUACCAUAAUUUAAAUUAAAAGUUUAAGUUCUCUUAAUAAAAAUAACUUUUCUAUAACUUAAAUUAAGGAAUAAAUUCAGUCAAACCACUUAAGAAAAAUUCAUUGUCAAUGGAACAACACUUUAUUGGUAACAAAUUCAGCUUUAGGUUGUUGAUAUAUACAUAGGUAAUGGACGAAAUGUCUAUCAUGCCCUUUCCGGCGAUGGUAGCUGGGACAGGUGCCAAUUUUUUUGCAAAUGCGACCAAAAUGGAUAGCUUCACCCAUAAAACGACAUAACUGGUAGUAGGUAUAGCGACAAUGCUUUCCCGAUUAUCAUUAUAUUUUUCUCUGUAGUUAUAAAUAAAGGUGACAAUUUGUUUCCAAAAGUAUCGUUAUUAAUCCUCAUCCGUUGAAUUAUAACACGUAAUUAUUACUUAGGGAUGAUAUUGCUUAAUCGGAAAGAAGGAUGUAAUAACUUUAAAAAAAAAAAUACAUAUGACAUAUAAGAGCAUCAUUAGAAAAUUCUUUUAAUUUAAUUUUUUAAAUACUUAUUUAUUUAUAUAUGUUAUAAAUAGAAGAGAGAAAAUAUCAUUUCUCAUAAGACUUUUCAAAUAAAAAUAAAUUUAUACUAUUUUACUCAAAUUUUUUCUUUCAUUAAAAUAAUAACAAUUAUAACUAUUCCAUCUCUUUAAAAGUAAUGAAAUAAAAAAUAAUAUAGUACGAAAUUAAGUGUUCUAAAAGACUCUCUAAAUAAAUUUUUUUAAAUUUCAAUAUGGACAAUUUUAUUUAAAAAUUAUUUAAAAACUCUUUUUAUUAACAUAACUCUUUAAAUAAAUAGUAAAUUUUCAUUAAAUUUUUUUUUUAAAAAUGUCUAUAACGAGAAAAAAAAUAUUAAUAGCAAGGGUUUGGCUAUGUUGGAGUUCACCUACGGUGGAGAACGAAUCUCAGCCACAUACACAAAAUGAUAAAGAAUAAAUAAUGAGUUAUAAUGAGUUUUUUAAUAUUUAUUACUUUGCGUGUGUGGUUGAGAUUCGUGUUCCACAGUAAGUGAACUCUAACAUAAUCAUAGCCUAACAACAAUUACCAAAUCAAAUCUUUGAGCACAUGAUUUUAUAUGGGCUUCUACAAAUUGUGGACAUCCAUAAAUAAAUUAGAGUUCAUAACCGAUUCUUGCUCUGACAUAUUCUGUUUAAUUUUUAAUUUAGAAUUUCUCAGUUACAAUUUACAACUCUUAUAUUCCUAUACAUGAAUUGCAAUGCCUUGGAUGCUUGUGUUGAAAUAUGAUGCAACCGAAGCAUGUGUGACGUUGUAUGACAUGUCAUGUAUAACGAAAAAAAAUGUACGACUUGUCAUCCUUAAACUAAAAGACACGUAUGACAAAAAAAAAAUGGUUAUCUCCAAUUUAUAUUUCCGAUUACAAUAGUCAUUGAUUCAGUGCUCAGCAAAGUUAAAUCCUAGUUCUAAUAAUAUACUCAGGGUUUUAUUUAUUUAUUUUGUAUUUUUAGAAAAAAAUAUUUGACUAACAAUCAUCAAGAUUGACUAACAUAUAUUACUUGACAACAAAUAAAGAAACUACUGCUCAAGAGACACUUUCAACAACGCAUAGACGUGAGGUAAAUAACAAGAGUGAAUAGACACUUAGGUAGUGUUUACUUGUUGUAGUAGGAGUAAGGAGUCUGGAUUCCUCCUACUCCAGUGUUUACUUACUAAUUUUAAAGGAGGAGUGAGAAUCCUACUCCUUGGGACCCACUUUUUUUUGGAGUGGGGAGUGGGAAUCCACUCCCCUCUCUUCCAUUUUUAUCCUAAUAUUUAAUUAAAUAAAAUAAAUAAUAUUUAAUUAAAUAAAAUAUUAUUAUUAUUUUAUUUUAUAAAUUAUACUUAUUAAAAAUAAUAAUUUAUAUUGAUUCUAAGUUAAAAUUACUUAAAAAUAAUAUUAUUAUACUCACAGAGAAUUAAUAAUAUUACUAUAUACUCUUUUUAUUUGAAAAUAUAAUAUUAUUAUAUUUAUUUAAAAAUAAUAGUAUUAUAUUUAUUUAAUAUUAGUAAUUAAUAAUAAUCAAUAUUUUAUUCUAAGAAAAUAUUAAUUUUGUAUUAUAUUAUUAAUAAUAAUGUUUCAUUUGUGUUGCUCUUAAUAAUAAUUUUUUAUUUACAUAAUUAAAAUUAAAUUUAAUAAAAAAAUAUUUACAUAAUUAAGAAUAUUAUUAAUUAUUAUUAAUUUAAAAAUAUAAUAAAAUAAAUAUUUUAUUUUUCAAAUCUAUUUUUUUAUUAAUUUUGUAAUUAAAAACUAUAAUUCUUUAAAUAAGGAUAAAACUGUAAUUUAAAAUCAUUUACUCUCAAUUCUAUGCUCUCAUUCCAGUGUAAGUAAACAACUUAUUCCCACUCCCACUCCAUACUCUACACUCCUAAUCCCAAAAUUCUCACUGCUCAUGAUUCCCACUCCAAUCUAAAAUGUAAACGCACCAUAAUUAAUUGAUUGAUAAUCGAAGUUCGAAGCCUCAGUGUGCUAACAAGCAGUAAAGUCAACAACACUAAGCUAUAAAUGGCAAACGUUAAUGCUCAUGAUGACAUCCAAAUCAAGUUCAGAAUCGUUGAACAUUUGAAAACAAUCACAACAGGAAGCUAUAAAUGGCAAAAGUAUGGAGGUGCCACUAUUGCCUGAGAGGGAAGAAGAGAGGAAAUGGGUGGUGGUGGUGCUACCACGGCUAUCCUUUUUGGAAGAGCUGAAGACGUUGAGCUUCUUAUCAGCGCCGCCGGCAGGGGUGGCCUGUUUUCGGUUCUUUUUGCUGGCUACAGCAACGAUGAUGGUGGGACACCUUGGAAAACUUUCACUUGAUAGUAUUGCCAUUGCUAACUCCUUAAUUAAUGUCAUCGGCUCCAUUCCACUUGUAAUAUUUUCUUCAUUCCCUUUUCUUUUUACCAUUAGAAAACUGCUUUACUUCUUCUUCUUCUUUGUUUCACAUCAAAGCAUGCUUCGUUUAUUUAAUCUAAUGACACUGCUUUGUAUGCCUUUUGUUUUGUAGCAAGUUAACAAUUUGCUUGUGCUCGCUAGAAAAUUGUUUAAAUGACUCAAUAUAAUCCACACAGCAAUAAUAUAACAAUAGCUAUUUUUAAAUCCAGAUCAACGACAAGCAACCACAACUAUAUGGUUAAACAAGUUAAAUCAAGCUCGUUUAGCUAUAAUAAGCAAUCAACUUUAGAACUUUAGCUUGACUUUCAUAGGUGAGAAUACCAAGCAGGUCUAUUUUGACUAGGCUAAGAUCAACAAAUUAAUAAACUUUGAUUAAUUAUUGGCGAAGAAUUAAUCAAUAUUACUUGGAAGAUAUUAAGAAACUUUGUUCACCUUUUCUGUCACUGGUCCAAAUAAUUUAUGAAGUACUUUUUUGAGCCUUUUUUUUUUGGAAAGGUAGUACUUUUUGAGCUUGAACAAGCAUUAUUAUAACUGAUCUUAGUUUACUCCAUAUUUUCCAUGCUACCGCUGUUUACAUAAAACGGAUUUUGGGAGAAUAGCAUAUAUUUCAUCAAUAAUCAAUUGAGACAUAUAAGAUUAGCCAACAAAAUGAUAUCUAAUGUGGACAAUGCCAUUAAAUUUUGAGCAGUUUGGUUUUGCCUCUGCAUUAGAGACUCUAUGUGGACAAGCUUAUGGAGCAGAGCAAUAUCAAAAGAUUGGAACCUAUACUUACCCUGCUAUGUUCUUUUGCAUUGCAAUUUGUAUCCCCAUCUCUGUUCUUUGGAUAUUCAUGGACAAAGUACUAAACUGCUAGGCCAAGACCCUGAUUUUUUUGUCGAAGCCUGCAAUUACGCAAUUUGGCUCAUACUGACAUUAUUUGGCUAUGCUAUUCUUCGAUCACUAUCUCACAAUCUCCAGGCUCAGAGCUUGAUUCUGGCAUUGUUCUUAAGCUCAUGUGCAACUCUUUGUUUGCAAAUUCUUCUUUGUUGGGGUCUAGUAUCUAAAACAGACUUUGGAAAUACAGGAGCAGAAUUAACCAUAGGUAUUUCUUAUUGGUUCAAUGUGAUCAUCCUUGCACUUUACAUGGGAUAGAACUCACACGGUGAUCACCAAGGAAAUUUUCCCUAGCACGAAGGAGUUCUCCUUCUUUGCACACCUUUCAGUUGUAAUGUUUUGGUAAUUUGCCUAUCGUACUUUGCAAUGUUUUUGUUAGUUUUCUGUUCUUAUAAAUUGACUUACAGUGUGCCUUUUGUUUCCAAUAACUAAAGUCUCGAAUGGUGGUCAUAUGAGAUUCUGGUACUGCUGUCUUGAAUAUUACCAAAUCCAAAACUUGAAACAUCAGUUCUUACAAUAUGGUACGUAUCUACACUUACGGUUUUGACUUUUGAGUAAACGGGGAAAAUUCUCAGUAGGGUUGAAUUGAUUUCCUUUGCUCUUCAUAUGCAGCGUUACAAUCCAGUCAACACACCAUUUUAUGCCAUUUGGUAUUAGUGCUGCCGCAAUGUUUGAUCUAUAUGUUGUUUCAAAAGCAUGCACUUACGAGUAAAUGAAAUAAUUCAUUACCUACUAGUUAAAAAAACCCUGAUUAAUUCUGUGUACUGAGCUGUAUCGCAAUCCACCGUUGUGCAGCACUCGAGUGGCAAAUGAAUUAGGAGCUGGAAAUCCAGAACCAGCUCGAUUGUCUACAUGUGUCGUGAUAUUUCUUGCAGUUGCAGAGGCAGCCAUAGGAAGCGUAGCUCUAUUCUGCUGCCGCAAUGUUUUGGCAUAUUUGUUCAACACUGACAAGGACGUUGUGAAUUAUGUGUCUGAAUUAGUUCCUCUGCUUAGCACUGCCAUUUUCAUGGACAGCAUGCAAUCAGUACUUUCCGGUCAGAAUCCCAUCAUUCUGUCAGGACUUUUAUUUUCACUCUUUUCACUCAGCUAGUGCUUCAGAGCUUGAAAAAGAUUUGAUGAUUUAUUUCUCACCAUUCACUUUCCUUAUCACAAGUAGCUAGAGUAAUUGGGUGACAGCACAUAGGAGCUUACGUAAAUCUUGGUGCAUUUUAUCUUGUUGGAAUUCCGGUAGCAUCUGUGCUAUGUUUUGUUCUUCAUCUUAGAACAAAAGGCCUUUUGCUCGGAUUAAUCAUUAAUGCCAGGCUCAACUGUCGCAAUUGCGCUCGCCAUCGUUACUUCUUUAACAAUUUGGGAAAAACAGGUUUCUAUUUCAUUUCACACUUUUUUCAAAUUAUCUGCUUCUUCAGCAGUGAGUUAUCCUUUAAUUUUGCUGGCUGACAUUGAUCUUUCAUGUGGAUAUCUUUCCAGGCUACCUUGGCCAGAGAGAGAAUAAUUAAGGGAGCAUCUUCAACUGAUAAUAGAUCGGUUCGAUGCAAAACGUAAUUAAACAUUUUGUUUCCAUCGUAUCAAAAUUUCUUAGGAUGUGAGCUGCGAGUAUAUACUGUUACAAAACCAAGACCAAUUUUGGACAAUGCUAUUGUUGUGGCAAUUAAUUUAUCGAAAACUUGGUGUGCAGAAGCAAACCCAAGAAUUUUAAGAGCAAACAAUGUCCAAAUCACCAAUACAAUCAAUUUUGUGAAAUUGAUUCACAAGGCUACGUCCUCGGAUAAUUCCUAGAUUUACCAUGAAAUUUUACAUUUAAAAGAAGCAUGAUAAACAUCCUUUAUUUUAAAAUUAUGGAUUCUCUCAUGAUUUAAAUUCUCGUAGGAGCAAUUCAUAGUGGUGAUGGUUAUUAAUAUAUAAAAAUGUAAUGAUAGUUUAGUUUAAUCCCAACCAUUAUUUGUGACAAACACUUGGCGCAAGAUCUUAGACUCUUAAAUCGAAAUGAAUAAAUGUUUUAAACCUCAGUCGCAUUUAAACUUGUAUAAACUAAAAAUAGUCAAUUUCUAUUUUAAAUAAUCACAUUUAAGAUAGUUUAUGUGUUGAUCAAAUACUUGUUUAGACUUGUUUAGGCUUUCAAACUAUAUAUGUUGAUCAAAUACACUGAGUAUGAGAUGUGGCUUGCAAAACAGCUAAGGCAAAAUAGUCCCCAAAUAAUUAAACCAGAUUAAUUUCCACAACUGACAAAUAGAAGUGUCGUACAUUUUUCAAAGAGCGUGUCUUAAUCGUGCCGAUUAACAUCCAAAAUGUCUUUGUUAUUAGUCGAUUACUACUAGCUAUUAUUGUUAUUAUUAUAACAGUUACCACGAAAACAUCGUCGAGAUAUUUCAUCCAUCUCACCCCAUUUUCAUGCACAAAUAAAUUGAAAAAGAAAAAUCACUUAUGAAUGAUGAGAAUCGAGCCUCUUGCAACAUAUCUACAUGGUAUAUUUUAACCAGGCACUGAGUGUAGCUAGGGACAACAUGCGAUGGUCAGCCUCUUGCAACAUACCUAAACUUCAGUAUGAUUGGUAAUCAACAAAAGUACUAGUCAAUCUUGACUUCAAACUCAAGGGAAGCAUCUUUAUCCGAAUUAAAGAGAUCCAGUCUAUCAUUUAUUGUUGUAUUGUUAGCAUACAAUUAUUACCAGAGAAUACAAGCAUAUAGAGGUUCUGCCCGAGGCUGAGAACGAAGAAGAGAAGAAGAAAUGGGCGGUAACACGGCGAGCGUUUGUGCAAGAGCUGAAGAAGGUGAGCUUCUUGGCAGCGCCUCUUGCCGGGGUAACUGUUUUUCAGUUGCUUUUGCCGGCUGUAUCAACGAUGAUGGUGGGACACCUUGGAAAACUUUCGCUUGCUAGCAUUACCAUCGCCACCUCUCUCACCAAUGUCACUGGCUUCACUCCACUCGUAAUUUUUUUUUCUUAAUUUUUACCAUUAAAAUGCCCUUCUAUAUAGGGCGUUACUUUUGAUUCUAUUUUCUUUUCUUUACUUUAGCUUGACUUUCAUGGGUGAUCAGAGCAAUCAACUUGAUAAAAUAGUAAGGGUAUAACAAAGGUUUUUCAUCAAACAAACAGUUUUAUAUACGUAUUUAGCUUAAAAGCUAUAGCUGCUAGGAAGCAAUACCAAAAGGAGUCUGAAUAUAUAAUUCGCUAUACCAUUCCACUCACCAGAGCGAAUAAUAUUUUCAUGUUCUGCUUGAGUUUGAACAAGAAUUAUACUCUAACUAACCAUUUUGGUGUGCUACUGUACUUAACUAGAUUUGCGAUAAUUGCUUAUAUGUUUCUUCUUUAUUUCAAUCUGUUAAGAUUAGCCUGCAACAUGAUAUCUUAGUAUUUGUGUUUCUGAAUCAGUACAAACUUGUCAAAUACAUGUAUAAUGUUGACGUUAACUUUAAAUUUUGAACAGUUUGGUUUUGCCUGUGCAUUAGAGACUCUAUGUGGACAAGCUUAUGGCGCAGAACAAUAUCAAAAGAUUGGGACGUAUACUUACUCUGCUAUGUUCUUUUGCAUUGCAAUAUGUCUCCCAAUCUCUGUUCUUUGGAUAUUCAUGGACAAAAUAUUAAUGCUGCUACACCAAAACCCUCAGAUUUCUGUUGAAGCCCGCAAUUAUGCAAUCUGGCUUAUACCAGCAUUAUUCGGCUAUGCGAUUCUUCGAUCACUGUGUCACAAUCUCCAGGCUCAGAGCUUGAUUCUAACAUUGUUCUUAAGCUCAUGUACAACUCUAUGUUUGCAUAUUCUUCUUUGUUGGGUUCUAGUGUUUAAAGCCGACUUUGGAAGUACCGGAGCAGCAUUAUCCAUUAGUAUGUCUUAUUGGUUCAAUGUGAUCAUCCUUGCUCUUUACAUGAGACACUCUCCAUCGUGUACAAAAACUCGCACUUUGAUCUCCAAGGAAAUUUUGCCUUGCAUGAAGGAGUUUACCGCCUUCGCUCUCCCCUCGGUUUUCAUGUUUUGGUAUAAUUUGUCAAUCUCACUUUGCAAUGUUAUUGUUAGUUUCUGUUAUUAUUGGUUUACUUACAGCGUGCUGUUUCGUUCCCAAUAAUUAUAGUCUUGAAUGGUGGUUCUAUGAGAUUCUGAUAUUACUGUCGGGACUUUUACCAAACCCCAAACUUGAAACAUCAGUUAUAUCUAUAUGGUACACUUCUGACAUCACUUGUGGUUUGCUUUUGGUGAAUUUUUUGGGGAAACUCUCAAUAGGGUUGAAUUGAUUUUCUUUGAUCUCCAUAUGCAGCUUUACAAUCCAGGCAACACACUAUUUUAUACCAUUUGGAAUUGGUGCUGCCGCAAGGUUUGAUCUAUGUCCUAUUUCAAAAGAGAUGCAAGUGGCAUAUGCAUUAUUUCUGUGUACUGAGAUUUUCUGUAGCAUUCGAGUGUCAAAUCAAUUAGGAGCUGGAAAUCCACAGCCAGCUCGGUUGGCUACCCGUGUUGCGGUGGCUCUUGCUGCCGCAGAGGCAGCCAUAGUGAGCAUAGCUCUAUUCUGCAGCCGAUAUGUCUUGGCAUAUGCAUUCAACAGUGACCAGGACGUCGUGAAAUAUGUGUCUAGAUUAGCUCCUCUGCUUAGUAUUGCUAUAUUCAUGGACAACAUGCAAUCGGUACUUUCCGGUGAGAAUCCUAACAUUCUAUCAGGAUUUAUUUGCACUCAUCUAAUGCUUAAAUAGCAGUGAACAUGCAGCUAAUAAUUUAAUUUUCGCGAAUUUACCUUUCUCGUCAGGGGUAGCUAGAGGAAUUGGGUGGCAGCACAUAAGGGCUUAUAUAAAUCUUGGUGCAUUUUAUCUCGUUGGAAUCCCGGUAGCGUAUGUGCUAUGUUUUUCAGUUCAUCUCAGAACGAAAGGCCUUUUGCUUGGAUUAAUGUCAGGCUCAACCGUACAAGCAGUUGCGCUUGCCGUCGUUACUUCAUUAACCAAUUGGCAAAAACAGGUUUCUGUAAUUCAUUUUUACUUUUGUUCUACGUGUUUGUUUCUUUGACAAUAUAUUAAUCAUCCUCUAAUCUGUUGGCUGACACUGAAUUUUUCAUAAUUUCAUGUGGAUAUUUUUCCAGGCAACCAUGGUCAGGGAAAGAAUAUUGGAGGGAGCACCUUCUACUGAAAAUCCAUCGGUUUGAUCCACCUGGGCUAGUAAUUAAUUACCCUGUUUUGUUUUUCAUCGUAACAAAUUACAUUCUCGAGACGAGAGCUGUAAAAUUUAACAGUGCUGGCAUUCUGACAAGCACCGGGUGACAAUUAUCGAACAGUUGGUAAGCAGAAGCAAAUAAACCCAACAAUAAGCACUAAUUUUUUAUAACAGCUAGUCAGCUACCACAAACAAUUUUUUUUUUCUUUAUAAUGAACUUCAGAAGAGAGAGAGAGGGGGGUAAAAAGCUAUAAUAAUAAUUAAAAAAAAAAAACUUAGAAAUAACUCCUAAUAAUAAUAAUAAUCAGGUGGAUCAUAGUACGCCACUACGCCUUAUAAUUCGUAAUAAAAGUAUACUGCUGAAACAUAAAUUUAAAAAAAAAAAAAAAAACACUCGAUGAGAUAACAAUACAAAGAAACAGCUAAACCAAUUAUUUAGAAAACCAUAUUUGCAUACCACAAACUAAUUUAAAGAUAACGUACGAUAUAACAGCAGUAGCAGAAAUAAGGUUGAUACAAUAAUUAAUGAAGCUCUACGCUACACCAAUUAGUGGUACCAUACCAUGCAUGAUCCAUCACACAGAGGAAAAAGAAAAAAAAAAAAGAUUUUAUUUAGCUUACUAUAUAUAUACGUAUUGCCAGCAGCCUGCAUGCUAGUACGGGGGAGGGGGAGGAUGAGGAGGGCGGUUCCAAGGCGGCGUUGGCCUGUAGGGAUCAUAGUUAUAAGGAGGUGCGGGACCGGGGGGGCCCGGAGGCGCUGCAAAAGGAGGGGGUGGAGAGUGAUGGUGAUGGUACCGAGGAGGUGGUGGAGGAGGCGGAUGGAACAAUUCGGGGCGGGGUGGCGGUGGUGGUGGAGGUGAAGGACCGUAAACGUGAGGUGGCGGCGGUGGGUGAGGAGCAUAUGGAUCUGCUGCCGCUGGUGGUGGUGGUGGUGGUGGAGGACCUGGACCUGGACGGUGGUGUCUAUGAAAUGCCAUGUUUUUGAAAGUUAGGUGAUCAAUACAAAGUGCUGUGCUGUUGUUUUUGUUUUAAGGGAUUUGGAGUUGUUUGUAUGUAUUUCCUUUGACGGUUCGUCGGAUGACGUGCCCAUGUUUGUGCCUCGGCUUCCUCAGCCAAUCAGAUUUUUAUUUUUGUCAAAAUUCGUUUCGUCUCCUCAUAUACUCCGUUUCAAGAGUGCAUCAUAUUU